This 255-nucleotide ribosomal RNA is filed under the name uncultured bacterium. RNAcentral's name for it is "partial 16S ribosomal RNA". It matches the Rfam family "Bacterial small subunit ribosomal RNA", at positions 524 to 777 of the family's 1533-position model. The record is from RNAcentral.
UACGAAGGGUGCAAGCGUUUGUCCGGAAUUAUUGGGCGUAAAGAGCUCGUAGGCGGUUUGUCGCGUCUGCUGUGAAAACUCGGGGCUUAACCCCGGGCCUGCAGUGGGUACGGGCAGACUAGAGUGCGGUAGGGGAGAACGGAAUUCCUGGUGUAGCGGUGGAAUGCGCAGAUAUCAGGAGGAACACCGGUGGCGAAGGCGGUUCUCUGGGCAUUACCUGACGCUGAGGAGCGAAAGCAUGGGGAGCGAACAGGG